This 388-nucleotide ribosomal RNA is filed under the name Gephyrocapsa sp. Its description in RNAcentral is "partial small subunit ribosomal RNA". It matches the Rfam family "Eukaryotic small subunit ribosomal RNA", at positions 582 to 975 of the family's 1831-position model. Lineage: Eukaryota; Haptophyta; Isochrysidales; Noelaerhabdaceae. The record is from RNAcentral.
AUUCCAGCUCCAAUAGCGUAUAUUAAAGUUGUUGCAGUUAAAACGCUCGUAGUCGGAUUUCGGGGCAGGCCGACCGGUCUGCCGAUGGGUAUGCACUGGCCGGCGCGUCCUUCCACCCGGAGACCGCGCCUCCUCUUAACUGAGCGGGCGCGGGAGACGGGUCUUUUACUUUGAAAAAAUCAGAGUGUUUCAAGCAGGCAGUCGCUCUUGCAUGGAUUAGCAUGGGAUAAUGAAAUAGGACUCUGGUGCUAUUUUGUUGGUUUCGAACACCGGAGUAAUGAUUAACAGGGACAGUCAGGGGCACUCGUAUUCCGCCGAGAGAGGUGAAAUUCUCAGACCAGCGGAAGACGAACCACUGCGAAAGCAUUUGCCAGGGAUGUUUUCAUCA